AUGGCUAUUGCGGCGAAGGCAUCGUGGAUGGUAGCCAUGAGCGUGGGCACUGUGGAGGCGCUCAAGGACCAAGCGAGGCUUUGCCGCUGGAACUACGCGCUCAGGUCCAUCCACCGAGCUGCCAAGGCCAAGGCCACCGUCCGUGGUGGCGUCUCGCUGGGCACCGAGCAGCUUCUGGCCUCCACGGCUGCUGUGGCGGAGAGACGGCGAGCGACGAAGGCUGAGGAAGGGCUGAGGACUGUCAUGUACCUCAGCUGCCGGGGGCCAAAUUAG
RNAcentral lists this ribosomal RNA (273 nucleotides) under Triticum aestivum (bread wheat). Its description in RNAcentral is "partial small subunit ribosomal RNA". The record is from RNAcentral. Lineage: Eukaryota; Viridiplantae; Streptophyta; Magnoliopsida; Poales; Poaceae.